AUUGAACGCUAGCGGGAUGCUUUACACAUGCAAGUCGAACGGCGGCGCGGACUUCGGUCUGGCGGCGAGUGGCGAACGGGUGAGUAAUGUAUCGGAACGUGCCCAGUAGCGGGGGAUAACUACGCGAAAGCGUAGCUAAUACCGCAUACGCCCUACGGGGGAAAGCAGGGGAUCGUAAGACCUUGCACUAUUGGAGCGGCCGAUAUCGGAUUAGCUAGUUGGUGAGGUAACGGCUCACCAAGGCGACGAUCCGUAGCUGGUUUGAGAGGACGACCAGCCACACUGGGACUGAGACACGGCCCAGACUCCUACGGGAGGCAGCAGUGGGGAAUUUUGGACAAUGGGGGCAACCCUGAUCCAGCCAUCCCGCGUGUGCGAUGAAGGCCUUCGGGUUGUAAAGCACUUUUGGCAGGAAAGAAACGUCGCGGGCUAAUACCCCGUGGAACUGACGGUACCUGCAGAAUAAGCACCGGCUAACUACGUG
This 484-nucleotide ribosomal RNA is filed under the name uncultured bacterium. RNAcentral describes it as "partial 16S ribosomal RNA". It matches the Rfam family "Bacterial small subunit ribosomal RNA", at positions 30 to 507 of the family's 1533-position model. The record is from RNAcentral.